GACGUAGGGUCCGAGCGUUGUCCGGAUUUACUGGGCGUAAAGAGCGCGCAGGCGGUCCUUUAAGUCUGAUGUGAAAGCCCACGGCUCAACCGUGGAGGGUCAUUGGAAACUGGGGGACUUGAGUGCAGAAGAGGAGAGCGGAAUUCCACGUGUAGCGGUGAAAUGCGUAGAGAUGUGGAGGAACACCAGUGGCGAAGGCGGGUCUCUGGGCCGAAAUUGACGCUGAGGAGCGAAAGCGUGGGGAGCAAACAGG
RNAcentral lists this ribosomal RNA (253 nucleotides) under uncultured bacterium. Its description in RNAcentral is "partial 16S ribosomal RNA". It matches the Rfam family "Bacterial small subunit ribosomal RNA", at positions 524 to 776 of the family's 1533-position model. The record is from RNAcentral.